Molecule: ribosomal RNA, 497 nt
Filed under: uncultured bacterium
Lineage: Bacteria
Description: partial 16S ribosomal RNA
Rfam family: Bacterial small subunit ribosomal RNA
Source: RNAcentral
GAUGAACGCUGGCGGCGUGCCUAAUACAUGCCAGUCGAGCGAACGGACGAGAAGCUUGCUUCUCUGAUGUUAGCGGCGGACGGGUGGGUAACACGUGGAUAACCUACCUAUAAGACUGGGAUAACUUCGGGAAACCGUAGCUAAUACCGGAUAAUAUUUUGAACCGCAUGGUUCAAAAGUGAAAGACGGUCUUGCUGUCACUUAUAGAUGGAUCCGCGCUGCAUUAGCUAGUUGGUAAGGUAACGGCUUACCAAGGCAACGAUGCAUAGCCGACCUGAGAGGGUGAUCGGCCACACUGGAACUGAGACACGGUCCAGACUCCUACGGGAGGCAGCAGUAGGGAAUCUUCCGCAAUGGGCGAAAGCCUGACGGAGCAACGCCGCGUGAGUGAUGAAGGUCUUCGGAUCGUAAAACUCUGUUAUUAGGGAAGAACAUAUGUGUAAGUAACUGUGCACAUCUUGACGGUACCUAAUCAGAAAGCCACGGCUAACUACGUG